AGUGUGUUAUUGAAAAGGAGAACAAUUUCAAGCAGGCAGGCGAGAGAUUCCGGUCCUUUGACCCUGCCAGGCAAGAACGUUUCAUCCAGCAGUGGGUUGAUGCACUCACGGAUGCUCGCGUCACUCAUGAAAUCCAGGGCAUCUGGGUCUCAUACUGGUCACAGUGCGACGUGUCCCUCGGGCAGAAGCUGGGGUCGCGGCUCAAGGUGAAGCCGAACAUGUAGAUGGACUAGCGGAGAGAAACAUCCACAGACGCACCCCAGUUGGUCUCAAUGGAGCUAAAGGGGAGGGGCAACAUGAACUAAAUCUGUGCUGUCUUUCUGGGUGUAGUCAUCAAUAAAAUGUAAAACACUGAUACGUACCAUACUA
This is a long non-coding RNA of Lolium rigidum, 369 nucleotides long. RefSeq lists it as uncharacterized. The transcript has 3 exons. The record is from RefSeq and is a predicted model, not a curated record. NCBI's taxonomy places the organism in Eukaryota, Viridiplantae, Streptophyta, Magnoliopsida, Poales, Poaceae.